Molecule: ribosomal RNA, 253 nt
Filed under: uncultured bacterium
Lineage: Bacteria
Description: partial 16S ribosomal RNA
Rfam family: Bacterial small subunit ribosomal RNA
Source: RNAcentral
UACGUAGGGGGCAAGCGUUGUCCGGAAUCAUUGGGCGUAAAGCGCGCGUAGGCGGCCCUGUAAGUCCGCUGUAAAAGUCAAAGGCUCAACCUUUGAAAGCCGGUGGAUACUGCAGGGCUAGAGUCCGGAAGAGGCGAGUGGAAUUCCUGGUGUAGCGGUGGAAUGCGCAGAUAUCAGGAAGAACACCCGUGGCGAAGGCGGUUCUCUGGGACGGUACUGACGCUGAGACGCGAAAGCGUGGGGAGCGAACAGG